RNAcentral lists this long non-coding RNA (3131 nucleotides) under Ananas comosus (pineapple). RNAcentral's name for it is "long non-coding RNA (ACOM_LNC038166)". Lineage: Eukaryota; Viridiplantae; Streptophyta; Magnoliopsida; Poales; Bromeliaceae. The record is from RNAcentral.
CCCUAACAGUAUAACUUUGCAACGAGUGCUUUUUCACAUUUUAUCGAAGAAAGCGUCAAACCUAAUUAUAUUGCUCUAUAAUGCCCAGAGAGUGUAAAUUUGGAACGAAUCGAUAUCAACACUCACAAAAAUAAAAACCGGAACAACAUUUGAGUACUCAGUUGCGCCUUAACAGUAUAACUUUGCAACCAGUACUUUUUCUCAUUUUAUCGAAGUAAGCGUCAAACCUAAUUAUAUUAUUCUAUUAUGCCCAGAGAGUGUAAAUUUGGAACGAUUCGAUGUCAACGCUCACAAGAACAAAAACCGGAACAACAUUAGACUCUUCAGUUGCACCCUAACAGUAUAACUUUGCAACGCGUACUUUUUCUCGUUUUAUCGAAGAAAGCGUAAAAUCUAAUUAUAUUGUUGUAUUAUGCCCAGAUAGUGUAAAUUUGGAACGAAUCGAUGUCAACGCUCACAAGAACAAAAACCGGAACAACAUUAGAGCACUCAGUUCCGCCAUAACAGUAUAACUUUGCAACGAGUGCUUUUUUUCAUUUUAUCGAAGAAAGCGUAAAACCUAGUUAUAUUAUUCUAUUAUGCCCAGAGAGUGUAAAUUUGGAACGAAUCGAUUUCAACGCUCACAAGAACAAAAACCGGAACAACAUUAGACUACUCAGUUGCGCCCUAACAGUAUAACUUUGCAACGAGUACUUUUUCUCAUUUAUCGAAGAAAGCGUCAAACCUAAUUAUAUUGUUCUAUCUUGCCCAGAGAGUGUAAAUUUGGAACGAAUCGAUGUCAAAGCUCACAAGAACAAAAAUCGGAUCAAUAUUAGACUACUCAGUUGCGCCCUAACAGUAUAACUUUGCAACGAGUGCUUUUUCUCAUUUUAUCGAAGAAAGCGUAAAUCUAAUUAUAUUGUUCUAUUAUACCUAGAGAGUGUAAAAUUGGAACGAACUGAUGUGAGCGCUCACAAGAACAAAAACCGGAUCAAUAUUAGACUACUCAGUUCCGCCCUAACAGUAUAACUUUGCAACGAGUACUUUUUCUCAUUUAUCGAAGAAAGCGUCAAACCUAAUUAUAUUGUUCUAUUAUGCCCAGAGAGUGUAAAUUUGGAACGAAUCGAUUUUAAAGCUCACAAGAACAAAAACCGGAACAAUAUUAGACAACUCAGUUGCGCCCGAACAGUAUAACUUUGCAACGAGUGCUUUUUCUCAUUUUAUCGAAGAAAGCGUCAAACCUCAUUAUAUUGUUCUAUUAUGCCGAGAGAGUGUAAAUUUGGAACGAAUCGAUGUCAACGCUCACAAGAACAAAAACCGGAACAACAUUAGACUCUUCAGUUGCACCCUAACAGUAUAACUUUGCAACGCGUACUUUUUCUCGUUUUAUCGAAGAAAGCGUAAAAUCUAAUUAUAUUGUUGUAUUAUGCCCAGAUAGUGUAAAUUUGGAACGAAUCGAUGUCAACGCUCACAAGAACAAAAACCGGAACAACAUUAGAGCACUCAGUUCCGCCAUAACAGUAUAACUUUGCAACGAGUGCUUUUUUUCAUUUUAUCGAAGAAAGCGUAAAACCUAGUUAUAUUAUUCUAUUAUGCCCAGAGAGUGUAAAUUUGGAACGAAUCGAUUUCAACGCUCACAAGAACAAAAACCGGAACAACAUUAGACUACUCAGUUGCGCCCUAACAGUAUAACUUUGCAACGAGUACUUUUUCUCAUUUUAUCGAAGAAAGCGUAAAAUCUAAUUAUAUUGUUCUAUUAUUCCCAGAUAGUGUAAAUUUGGAACGAAUUGAUGUCAACGCUCACAAGAACAAAAACCGGAACAACUUUAGACUACUCAGUUGCGCCUAACAGUAUAACUUUGCAACGAGUACUUUUUCUCAUUUUAUCGAAGAAAGCGUCAAAACUAAUUAUAUUGUUCUAUUACGCCCAGAGAGUGUAAAUUUGGAACGAAUUGAUGUCAACGCUCACAAGAACAAAAACUGGAACAAAAUUAGGCUACUUAGUUGCGCCCUAACAGUAUAACUUUGCAACGAGUGCUUUUUCACAUUUUAUCGAAGAAAGCGUCAAACCUAAUUAUAUUGCUCUAUAAUGCCCAGAGAGUGUAAAUUUGGAACGAAUCGAUAUCAACACUCACAAAAAUAAAAACCGGAACAACAUUUGAGUACUCAGUUGCGCCUUAACAGUAUAACUUUGCAACCAGUACUUUUUCUCAUUUUAUCGAAGUAAGCGUCAAACCUAAUUAUAUUAUUCUAUUAUGCCCAGAGAGUGUAAAUCUGGAACGAAUCGAUGUCAACGCUCACAAGAACAAAAACCGGAACAACAUUAGACUACUCAGUUGCGCCAUAACAAUAUAACUUUGCAACGAGUACUUUUUCUUAUUUUAUCGAAGAAAGCGUAAAUCCUAAUUAUAUUAUUCUAUUAUGCCCAGAGAGAGUAAAUUUAGAACCAAUCGAUGUCAACGCUCACAAGAACAAAAAUCGGAACAACAAUAGACUACUCAGUUGCACCCUAACAGUAUAACUUUACAACGAGUGCUUUUUCUCAUUUUAUCGAAGAAGGCGUCAAACCUAAUUAUAUUGUUCUAUUAUUCCGAGAAAGUGUAAAUUUGGAACGAAUCGAUGUCAAAGCUCACAAGAACAAAAACCGGAACAAUAUUGGACUACUCAGUUGCGCCCUAACAGUAUAACUUUGCAACGAGUGCUUUUUCCCAUUUUAUCGAAGAAAGCGUAAAUGCUAAUUAUAUUGUUCUAUUAUGCCCAGAGAGUGUAAAUUUGGAACGAACCGAUGUCAGCGCUCACAAGAACAAAAACCGGAACAACAUUAGACUAAUCAGUUGCGCCCGAACAGUAUAAUUUUGCAACGAGUGAUUUUUCUCAUUUUAUCGAAGAAAGCGUCAAACCUAAUUAUAUUGUUCUAUUAUGCCCAGAGAGUGUAAAUUUGGAACGAAUCGAUGUCAACGCUCACAUGAACAAAAAUCGGGACAACAUUAGACUACUGAGUUGCGCCCUAACAGUAUAAAUUUGCAACGAGACCUUUUUCUCAUUUUAUCGAAGAAAGCAUCAAACCUAAUUAUAUUGUUCUAUUAUGCCCAGACAGUGUAAUUUUGGAACGAAUCGAUGUCAACGCUCACAAGAAUAAAAACCGGAACAAC